This 74-nucleotide transfer RNA is filed under the name Candidatus Nitrosotenuis chungbukensis. Its description in RNAcentral is "tRNA-Gly". It matches the Rfam family "tRNA". From Rfam's summary of the family: Transfer RNA (tRNA) molecules are approximately 80 nucleotides in length. Their secondary structure includes four short double-helical elements and three loops (D, anti-codon, and T loops). The record is from RNAcentral. RNAcentral also lists the same sequence under 10 other names. Lineage: Archaea; Thermoproteati; Nitrososphaerota.
GCGGCUGUAGUAUAGCCUGGCCAGUACGCGGGAUUGCCAAUUCUGUGACCCGGGUUCAAAUCCCGGCAGCCGCA